Long non-coding RNA from Sinocyclocheilus grahami, 855 nucleotides. RefSeq lists it as uncharacterized. Lineage: Eukaryota; Metazoa; Chordata; Actinopteri; Cypriniformes; Cyprinidae. The transcript has 2 exons. The record is from RefSeq and is a predicted model, not a curated record.
UUCCCUAGUAAAUCCAGGCAUGCAGCAGCUCUUUUGCCACUCGGUCCGGCUGAGGGGUGUGUUCCGGCGGGAAAGUGACGAUAGAUUUCAAACUCAGUUUGGGUUGUUUUAAUCCUAUGUCCAGGUGAACUCAAUUCAGAACCAAAUGCAGUCUAAAGGAGGCUAUGAAGGAGAGGCCAUGUCUGUUAAUGUACAGAUGCAGCUGGUGGAUACAAAAGCAGGAUAAUUCGUGUUGUUGGAAGGGGGUCCCGUGAUGAGCUGUUUCUGCUCUCUGGUUCCCCUCCAGCAGCUCCCCACGUGCCCCGGCGGCAACUUCUCACUUCAUUCUUCCCCAGCAAACACAUGGACAGUUGUGCGCUCCAUGGUAUAGAGGCCGUGCUGCCCGUCGGACAGCAGGAUCCCACAGCGCUUCAGUGUUGUUUCCGUCACUGCUUCAUCGCAUGCCCCUCCAGCCUAGAAGUGCAAAGUGUGUCCCUGCUUUCUUCUGUGGUUUGCCGUGAACUGUUGCUUUUCAUCGUGCACAUCUGUGGGUCUGGAACCAAUGCGAACAGUCGUUUUGGGUCGGUUCUCUGUUGUUUGCUCAUUUCGCCAUGAAAAGACUGCUUUUAUUUUUGAUUGAGUGAUCAGCACGGAGCCGACAACAAUGUUUGUAUGAGAAAGUGGCUGCUUACAGUCAUGCGGUGCCAAACUGCUCAGUGCAAUGGAAGGACAGGAAGUACUUUGUGUUUAAACAUGAGCACAACAAAUGCAUUUUUAUGGAAAUGUGAUUGUUACUUUGCCGUUUACAAUGUUCAAAUUUGCAUAUCUUGUUUUUUUCUGUUUUCAUUGUAAUGAUUUUUCAGAUUAGCGUAAUCA